This 87-nucleotide unclassified non-coding RNA is filed under the name Pseudomonas granadensis. Lineage: Bacteria; Pseudomonadati; Pseudomonadota; Gammaproteobacteria; Pseudomonadales; Pseudomonadaceae. The record is from RNAcentral.
UUUGAGAGCGAGCCUGCUCGCGAAAGCGCUGUUUCAGUCAACCGGGAUGUUGAAUGUGCCGCCUUCGCGAGCAGGCUCGCUCCCACA